UCGAUGGGUUGUAGCCGGCUCCUUUGGAGCAUGUGCACACUUGUCUUGAUUCUAUUCAUCCACCUGUGCACCAUUUGUAGUCCCUGAGGGCUGAGAGUGGCUGUUAACAUCAUCUGACUUGAUGGACGAGAGGAUUGCGAGCACGCAAGUGCAGCUUUCUUCAGCAACAUGCCAUGACCUCCCUUGGAGUCUAUGUUACUUUCAUAAACCAUUUAGUAUGUUGAUGAAUGUAAUCAAUAGGCCUUUGUGUCUAUAGAAUCUUAUACAACUUUCAGCAACGGAUCUCUUGGCUCUCGCAUCGAUGAAGAACGCAGCGAAAUGCGAUAAGUAAUGUGAAUUGCAGAAUUCAGUGAAUCAUCGAAUCUUUGAACGCACCUUGCGCUCCUUGGUAUUCCGAGGAGCAUGCCUGUUUGAGUGUCAGUAAAUUCUCAAUCCCCACUAGCUUUUGCAGUUGGGGCUUGGAUAGUGGAGGUAUUUGCAGGCCCUUUUGAAAGGUGUCAGCUCCUCUGAAAUGUAUUAGCGGAACCGUUUGCAAUCCGUCACAGGUGUGAUAGUUAUCUACACCCAGUGGGUUGCUCUCUGAUUGUUCAGCUUCCAACUGUCCUUGUGGGACAACUACUGAACUUUUGACCUCAAAUCAGGUAGGACUACCCGCUGAAC
RNAcentral lists this ribosomal RNA (660 nucleotides) under uncultured Agaricales. RNAcentral's name for it is "eukaryotic LSU rRNA". The stretch from base 267 to 420 matches the Rfam family "5.8S ribosomal RNA". The record is from RNAcentral. Lineage: Eukaryota; Fungi; Basidiomycota; Agaricomycetes; Agaricales.